UCAUUCUAGAUACACUUUCCAGUACAUCUACUAUGUUACGACUUAUCUUACCUUAAUAAUAAGAGCGACGGGCGAUGUGUACAUAUUUUAGAGCUAAAAUCAAAUUAUUAAUCUAUAUAAUUUUACAACCAAAUCCACCUUCAAAAAUUUUUUCAUAAUUUUAUCCGUAUAAAUAAAUUUAUUGUAACCCAUUAUUACUUAAAUAUAAGCUACACCUUGAUCUGAUAUAAAUUCUUUUUAAAAUUAUUGAAUAUUAUAAUUCUUAUAAAAUAUUCUGAUAACGACGGUAUAUAAACUGAUAACAAACUUAAGUAAGGUCCAUCGUGGAUUAUCGAUUACAAAACAGGUUCCUCUGGAUAGACUAAAAUACCGCCAAAUUUUUUAAGUUUCAAGAACAUAACUAUUACUACUUAAGUAUU
Molecule: ribosomal RNA, 419 nt
Filed under: Drosophila buzzatii
Lineage: Eukaryota; Metazoa; Arthropoda; Insecta; Diptera; Drosophilidae
Description: partial 12S ribosomal RNA
Source: RNAcentral